GACGAACGCUGGCGGCGUGCUUAACACAUGCAAGUCGAACGGAAAGGCCCUGCUUUUGUGGGGUGCUCGAGUGGCGAACGGGUGUGUAACACGUGAGUAACCUGCCCUUGACUUUGGGAUAACUUCAGGAAACUGGGGCUAAUACCGGAUAGGUGCUCCUGCUUCAUGGUGGGGGUUGGAAAGUUUCGGCGGUUGGGGAUGGACUCGCGGCUUAUCAGCUUGUUGGUGGGGUAGUGGCUUACCAAGGCUUUGACGGGUAGCCGGCCUGAGAGGGUGACAGGGCACAUUGGGACUGAGAUACGGCCCAGACAGCUACGGGAGGCAGCAGUGGGGAAUAUUGCACAAUGGGCGGAAGCCUGAUGCAGCAACGCGGCGUGCGGGAUGACGGCCUUCGGGUUGUAAACCGCUUUCGCCUGUGACGAAGCGUGAGUGACGGUAAUGGGUAAAGAAGCACCGGCUAACUACGUG
This 468-nucleotide ribosomal RNA is filed under the name uncultured bacterium. RNAcentral describes it as "partial 16S ribosomal RNA". It matches the Rfam family "Bacterial small subunit ribosomal RNA", at positions 28 to 507 of the family's 1533-position model. The record is from RNAcentral.